GACGAACGCUGGCGGCGUGCUUAACACAUGCAAGUCGAACGGAAAGGCCCCUUUGGGGGUACUCGAGUGGCGAACGGGUGAGUAACACGUGAGUAACCUGCCCUUGACUUCGGGCUAACUUCCGGAAACUGGGGCUAAUACCGGAUAGGAAUCCUUGCUGCAUGGUGGGGGUUGGAAAGCUUCGGCGGUUUUGGGUGGACUCGCGGCUUAUCAGCUUGUUGGUGGGGUAGUGGCUUACCAAGGCUUUGACGGGUAGCCGGCCUGAGAGGGCGACCGGCCACAUUGGGACUGGGAUAAGGCCCAGACUCCUACGGGAGGCAGCAGUGGGGAAUAUUGCACAAUGGGCGGAAGCCUGAUGCAGCAACGCCGCGUGCGGGAUGACGGCCUUCGGGUUGUAAACCGCUUUCAGCAGGGGCGAAGCUUGUGGUGACGGUACCUGCAGAAGAAGCACCGGCUAACUACGUG
RNAcentral lists this ribosomal RNA (465 nucleotides) under uncultured bacterium. RNAcentral's name for it is "partial 16S ribosomal RNA". It matches the Rfam family "Bacterial small subunit ribosomal RNA", at positions 28 to 507 of the family's 1533-position model. The record is from RNAcentral.